UUAGCUCAUAUUUGUAUGGAGCUGGAACGUUUGCCUACGUUUGCCGCUAGGGGCGCUGUUCCAACUGCAUACAAAUUUGCGUUA
Non-coding RNA from Bombyx mori (domestic silkworm), 84 nucleotides. Lineage: Eukaryota; Metazoa; Arthropoda; Insecta; Lepidoptera; Bombycidae. The record is from Rfam.